CUAAGAUUAAGCCAUGCAUGUUUCCGCAAUCAGGGACGAAUAGCUCAGUAAAACUGCGAUGAUUUAGUCUGGCUGUGUAGAUAACUACGUGAAAAUGUAGCUAAGGGAAGGCAGAAUAAGACGCAGGACUAUCAGUUAGUUGGUAGUGUAAUGGACUACCAAGACAGUGACGGUUGACGGGAAAUUAGGGUUUUGUACCGGAGAGGGAGCCUGAGAGAUUGCUCCCACGUCCAAGGACGGCAGCAGGCGCGAAAAUUGCCCACUCUUUGCAGGAGGCAGUUAUGAGACGUGAAGAUGAGUAUCUUGUAAAGAGGGAUAGGAGAAUUGGAGGGCAAGUUUGGUGCCAGCAGCCGCGGUAAUACCGACUCCAAGAGUGUGUAUGAGAGAUGCUGCAGUUAAAAAGUCCGUAGUCAUAGAAGGGCAAAGAGAGAUGCGAGGUCUCACAGUGCGAUGAUGGAGGAGCCGAUGGGGAACAUAGUAUACCAGGGCGAGAGAUGAAAUGCCAAGACCCCUGGUGGACUGAGCGAGGCGAAGGCGAUGUUCUUGUAGGCAUUCGGUGAUCAAGGACGAAGG
This 573-nucleotide ribosomal RNA is filed under the name Vittaforma corneae. Its description in RNAcentral is "SSU rRNA". It matches the Rfam family "Microsporidia small subunit ribosomal RNA", at positions 37 to 642 of the family's 1311-position model. Lineage: Eukaryota; Fungi; Microsporidia; Nosematidae. The record is from RNAcentral.